This 1542-nucleotide ribosomal RNA is filed under the name Escherichia coli. Its description in RNAcentral is "bacterial SSU rRNA". It matches the Rfam family "Bacterial small subunit ribosomal RNA". Lineage: Bacteria; Pseudomonadati; Pseudomonadota; Gammaproteobacteria; Enterobacterales; Enterobacteriaceae. The record is from RNAcentral.
AAAUUGAAGAGUUUGAUCAUGGCUCAGAUUGAACGCUGGCGGCAGGCCUAACACAUGCAAGUCGAACGGUAACAGGAAUCAGCUUGCUGAUUCGCUGACGAGUGGCGGACGGGUGAGUAAUGUCUGGGAAACUGCCUGAUGGAGGGGGAUAACUACUGGAAACGGUAGCUAAUACCGCAUAACGUCGCAAGACCAAAGAGGGGGACCUUCGGGCCUCUUGCCAUCAGAUGUGCCCAGAUGGGAUUAGCUAGUAGGUGGGGUAACGGCUCACCUAGGCGACGAUCCCUAGCUGGUCUGAGAGGAUGACCAGCCACACUGGAACUGAGACACGGUCCAGACUCCUACGGGAGGCAGCAGUGGGGAAUAUUGCACAAUGGGCGCAAGCCUGAUGCAGCCAUGCCGCGUGUAUGAAGAAGGCCUUCGGGUUGUAAAGUACUUUCAGCGGGGAGGAAGGGAGUAAAGUUAAUACCUUUGCUCAUUGACGUUACCCGCAGAAGAAGCACCGGCUAACUCCGUGCCAGCAGCCGCGGUAAUACGGAGGGUGCAAGCGUUAAUCGGAAUUACUGGGCGUAAAGCGCACGCAGGCGGUUUGUUAAGUCAGAUGUGAAAUCCCCGGGCUCAACCUGGGAACUGCAUCUGAUACUGGCAAGCUUGAGUCUCGUAGAGGGGGGUAGAAUUCCAGGUGUAGCGGUGAAAUGCGUAGAGAUCUGGAGGAAUACCGGUGGCGAAGGCGGCCCCCUGGACGAAGACUGACGCUCAGGUGCGAAAGCGUGGGGAGCAAACAGGAUUAGAUACCCUGGUAGUCCACGCCGUAAACGAUGUCGACUUGGAGGUUGUGCCCUUGAGGCGUGGCUUCCGGAGCUAACGCGUUAAGUCGACCGCCUGGGGAGUACGGCCGCAAGGUUAAAACUCAAAUGAAUUGACGGGGGCCCGCACAAGCGGUGGAGCAUGUGGUUUAAUUCGAUGCAACGCGAAGAACCUUACCUGGUCUUGACAUCCACGGAAGUUUUCAGAGAUGAGAAUGUGCCUUCGGGAACCGUGAGACAGGUGCUGCAUGGCUGUCGUCAGCUCGUGUUGUGAAAUGUUGGGUUAAGUCCCGCAACGAGCGCAACCCUUAUCCUUUGUUGCCAGCGGUCCGGCCGGGAACUCAAAGGAGACUGCCAGUGAUAAACUGGAGGAAGGUGGGGAUGACGUCAAGUCAUCAUGGCCCUUACGACCAGGGCUACACACGUGCUACAAUGGCGCAUACAAAGAGAAGCGACCUCGCGAGAGCAAGCGGACCUCAUAAAGUGCGUCGUAGUCCGGAUUGGAGUCUGCAACUCGACUCCAUGAAGUCGGAAUCGCUAGUAAUCGUGGAUCAGAAUGCCACGGUGAAUACGUUCCCGGGCCUUGUACACACCGCCCGUCACACCAUGGGAGUGGGUUGCAAAAGAAGUAGGUAGCUUAACCUUCGGGAGGGCGCUUACCACUUUGUGAUUCAUGACUGGGGUGAAGUCGUAACAAGGUAACCGUAGGGGAACCUGCGGUUGGAUCACCUCCUUA